This 87-nucleotide transfer RNA is filed under the name Medakamo hakoo. RNAcentral's name for it is "trnM-CAU". It matches the Rfam family "tRNA". From Rfam's summary of the family: Transfer RNA (tRNA) molecules are approximately 80 nucleotides in length. The record is from RNAcentral. Lineage: Eukaryota; Viridiplantae; Chlorophyta; Trebouxiophyceae; Coccomyxaceae.
GCAUGCAUGGCUGAGUGGUCGAAGGCAGCCGACUCAUAAUCGGCCUUCCCAUCGAGGACACCACAGGUUCGAAUCCUGUUGCAUGCA